AUCGGGGUUGCGGACAGUGUCUGGUGGGUAGUUUGACUGGGGCGGUCUCCUCCUAAAGAGUAACGGAGGAGCACGAAGGUUGGCUAAUCCUGGUCGGACAUCAGGAGGUUAGUGCAAUGGCAUAAGCCAGCUUGACUGCGAGCGUGACGGCGCGAGCAGGUGCGAAAGCAGGUCAUAGUGAUCCGGUGGUUCUGAAUGGAAGGGCCAUCGCUCAACGGAUAAAAGGUACUCCGGGGAUAACAGGCUGAUACCGCCCAAGAGUUCAUAUCGACGGCGGUGUUUGGCACCUCGAUGUCGGCUCAUCACAUCCUGGGGCUGAAGUAGGUCCCAAGGGUAUGGCUGUUCGCCAUUUAAAGUGGUACGCGAGCUGGGUUUAGAACGUCGUGAGACAGUUCGGUCCCUAUCUGCCGUGGGCGCUGGAGAACUGAGGGGGGCUGCUCCUAGUACGAGAGGACCGGAGUGGACGCAUCACUGGUGUUCGGGUUGUCAUGCCAAUGGCACUGCCCGGUAGCUAAAUGCGGAAGAGAUAAGUGCUGAAAGCAUCUAAGCACGAAACUUGCCCCGAGAUGAGUUCUCCCUGACUCCCUGAGAGUCCUGAAGGAACGUUGAAGACGACGACGUUGAUAGGCCGGGUGUGUAAGCGCAGCGAUGCGUUGAGCUAACCGGUACUAAUGAACCGUGAG
RNAcentral lists this ribosomal RNA (683 nucleotides) under Escherichia coli. RNAcentral's name for it is "partial 23S ribosomal RNA". It matches the Rfam family "Bacterial large subunit ribosomal RNA", at positions 2238 to 2915 of the family's 2925-position model. The record is from RNAcentral. Lineage: Bacteria; Pseudomonadati; Pseudomonadota; Gammaproteobacteria; Enterobacterales; Enterobacteriaceae.